AAAGGUGAUGUUUGACUUCCUGUACAGCUGCAAUUCGUGUGGUGAAGGUGCUCCCACAAUGUGGUUGGAGACAGGCUCCAGUGACUUCAUGGGGGCUACAACUCCCACAGUACCUGUGGCAGGGACCGCACGUGUGUGGGGAAACCCUGCACGCUACAUGUGCAGAAUGUGAGCGGGUUUUGGAACAUGUGCUUUGGGGUGCUAGAUGGUGAAGAUUUGCAGACUGAAAUCUCAAAGUCAUGUGCAGAUUGUGAUUAAGUUAACCAGCAUUUGAAGAACCAAAGAUAGAGAAUCACUCCACCAAAAUCCUGCAACACUCUCCCUCCCAGCAUUGUCGGUCUCUCUGCACCAAAUGGACUGUGAAUGGUACAAGACAGCAGCUCACUACCAUCUUCUCCAGGGUAACUAGAGAUGGGGAAUAAAUGCUGGCUGAGCCAGUGAUGCCCAUAUCCUGGAAAUGGUUUCUA
Hemiscyllium ocellatum (epaulette shark) is the source of this 467-nucleotide long non-coding RNA. RefSeq lists it as uncharacterized. NCBI's taxonomy places the organism in Eukaryota, Metazoa, Chordata, Chondrichthyes, Orectolobiformes, Hemiscylliidae. The transcript is spliced from 3 exons. The record is from RefSeq and is a predicted model, not a curated record.